GAUGAACGCUGGCGGCGUGCUUAAUACAUGCAAGUCGAACGGAAAGGCCCUGCUCUUGUGGCGUGCUCGAGUGGCGCACGCGUGAGUAACACGUGUGUAUCACGCCCCUGUCUUUGGGAUAACUCCUCGGAACUGGGGCUCAUACCCGGGAGGAGCUCCUGCUGCAUGGUGUUGGUUGGAAAAUUUCGGCGGUGGGGGAUGGACUGGCGGGUUAUCAGCUUGUUGGUGGGGUAGGGGAUUCCCAAGGCUAUGACGGGUAGCCGGCCUGAGAGGGGGACCGGCCACAAUGGGACUGAGGGACGCACCAGACGCGUACGUGACGCAGCGGUGGGGAAUAUGGCACAACGGGCGGAAGCCUGAGGCGGCAACGCUCCGUGCGUGAUGAUGUCUUUCGGGGUGUAAACCGCUUUCGAAGGUAACGAAGCGUUCGUGACGGUAAUGGGUAAAGAAGCAACGGCUAACUACGUG
This 468-nucleotide ribosomal RNA is filed under the name uncultured bacterium. RNAcentral describes it as "partial 16S ribosomal RNA". It matches the Rfam family "Bacterial small subunit ribosomal RNA", at positions 28 to 507 of the family's 1533-position model. The record is from RNAcentral.